GCCAGUGUGACAUAGUGGUUUGAGCAUUGGACUGUGAUUCUGGAGACUAGGGUUUGAUUCCCAGCUCAGCCA
Non-coding RNA from Phrynosoma platyrhinos (Desert horned lizard), 72 nucleotides. The record is from the annotation of a GenBank genome assembly. NCBI's taxonomy places the organism in Eukaryota, Metazoa, Chordata, Lepidosauria, Squamata, Phrynosomatidae.